UAAUACGUAUGGUGCGAACGUUAUUCGGAAUUACUGGGCAUAAAGGGCGCGUAGGCGGUUUGGUAAGUCUGCAUGUGAAAUCCCUCGGCUCAACCGAGGAACUGCAUCGGAAACUGCCAGACUAGAGUGCAGGAGGGGAGAGCGGAAUUCCUGGUGGAGCGGUGAAAUGCGUAGAUAUCAGGAGGAACGCCAGUGGCGAAAGCGGCUCUCUGGUCUGCAACUGACGCUGAGGCGCGAAAGCUAGGGGAGCGAACGGGAUUAGAUACCCCGGUAGUCCUAGCCCUAAACGAUGGGCACUAGGUAGAGGAAGUUUUAGAGCUUUCUCUGCUGUAGCUAAUGUAUUAAGUGCCCCGCCUGGGGAGUAUGGUCGCAAGGCUA
This 378-nucleotide ribosomal RNA is filed under the name uncultured Planctomycetota bacterium. RNAcentral describes it as "bacterial SSU rRNA". It matches the Rfam family "Bacterial small subunit ribosomal RNA", at positions 521 to 896 of the family's 1533-position model. Lineage: Bacteria; Pseudomonadati; Planctomycetota. The record is from RNAcentral.